Molecule: ribosomal RNA, 382 nt
Filed under: uncultured eukaryote
Lineage: Eukaryota
Description: partial 18S ribosomal RNA
Rfam family: Eukaryotic small subunit ribosomal RNA
Source: RNAcentral
UGUAAGCGUAUACCAAAGUUGUUGCAGUUAAAACGCUCGUAGUCGGAAUUUGGCAGUUCCGGAUGUGUGCACGUCGUGUGCGCACUUCGCGGGGAUUGCUUUUGUGGUCUUGCGUAGGAUGAGGCACUUUUAUUAGUGAACGUCCUCACGCAACCACUUUUUACUGUGAGAAAAUCAGAGUGCUCAAAGCAGGCAUUUGCCGUGAAUGUAUUAGCAUGGAAUGAUAGAAUAGGACUUGGUUCUAUUUUGUUGGUUUGUUGGGACUGAGUAAUGAUUAAGAGGGACAGUUGGGGGCAUUUGUAUUUCGAUGCUAGAGGUGAAAUUCUUAGAUUACCGAAAGACAAACUGCUGCGAAAGCGUCUGCCAAGGAUGUUUUCAUUGA